Molecule: long non-coding RNA, 485 nt
Filed under: Elaeis guineensis (African oil palm)
Lineage: Eukaryota; Viridiplantae; Streptophyta; Magnoliopsida; Arecales; Arecaceae
Description: long non-coding RNA (EGUI_LNC037817)
Source: RNAcentral
GGACUCCAUUUUGAAUUUCAUGGCUUCUAGCUACUUAUCGGAGUUAGACCUCUGCAUUGCAUCUAUGUAGAUGAUCAAAUCCUCAUUGUUCUUAUUGAGUUCAAUAAGAUCACUAUCCCGAACUAAGAAAUUGUAGUAUCUGUCCAGCUGAUGUGGUACUCUAUCGGAUCUCCUUAAUGUUGCAUCUACAAUGAAUUUCAGAUUUGAUCUAAUCAAGUCUGACUCUAUGGUUCACUAGAUUGUGUCGAUUCUUCUAUCGAUCAAAUUUUAUCAAGUUCGACUUUAGUGGCAUUAGUUCCUUCUCCAAGGAACUUCUUUUCAAAAUGACUACCCAAUUAUUGAUGAACACCUUUUGUUCAUCAACAUGGAAGAAGUAAUAUCCUUUAGUCUCUUUUGAGUACCUAAUAAAUUGACACUUAUAAAGUCUAGGUCCAAACUUAUCUAUUUUCAAAUGCUUGACAUAAGUUGGACAACCCCAAACCCUA